AGUCGAACGGACUUAACUCAUUCUUUUAGAUUGAGAGCGGUUAGUGGCGGACUGGUGAGUAACACGUAAGCAACCUGCCUAUCAGAGGGGAAUAACAGUGAGAAAUCAUUGCUAAUACCGCAUAAGCUAGUAGUAUCGCAUGAUAUAGCUAGAAAAGGAGCAAUCCGCUGAUAGAUGGGCUUGCGUCUGAUUAGCUAGUUGGUGGGGUAACGGCCUACCAAGGCGACGAUCAGUAGCCGGACUGAGAGGUUGAACGGCCACAUUGGGACUGAGAUACGGCCCAGACUCCUACGGGAGGCAGCAGUCGGGAAUAUUGCGCAAUGGAGGAAACUCUGACGCAGUGACGCCGCGUAUAGGAAGAAGGUUUUCGGAUUGUAAACUAUUGUCGUGAGGGAAGAAAUUGACAGUACCUCAGGAGGAAGCUCCGGCUAACUAUGUGCCAGCAGCCGCGGUAAUACAUAGGGAGCAAGCGUUAUCCGGAUUUAUUGGGUGUAAAGGGUGCGUAGACGGGAUAACAAGUUGGUUGUGAAACCCCUCGGCUCAACUGAGGAACUGCAACCAAAACUAUUAUUCUUGAGUGCAGGAGAGGAAAGUGGAAUUCCUAGUGUAGCGGUGAAAUGCGUAGAUAUUAGGAAGAACACCGGUGGCGAAGGCGACUUUCUGGACUGUAACUGACGUUGAGGCACGAAAGUGUGGGGAGCAAACAGGAUUAGAUACCCUGGUAGUCCACACUGUAAACGAUGGAUACUAGGUGUAGGGGGUAUUAAGC
This 769-nucleotide ribosomal RNA is filed under the name uncultured bacterium. Its description in RNAcentral is "bacterial SSU rRNA". It matches the Rfam family "Bacterial small subunit ribosomal RNA", at positions 60 to 837 of the family's 1533-position model. The record is from RNAcentral.